Long non-coding RNA from Coturnix japonica (Japanese quail), 1472 nucleotides. RefSeq lists it as uncharacterized. The record is from RefSeq and is a predicted model, not a curated record. Lineage: Eukaryota; Metazoa; Chordata; Aves; Galliformes; Phasianidae.
UCCACCACCUCCCUGGGCAGCCAUUCCAGUGCCUGACCACUCUCUGAGAAGAAAAGUUCCUUUGUAUGUCAAGUCUAAACCUCUUCUGAUACAACUUGUGGCCAGACAAGCAGCUUGAUAUAAAGAUGAGCAAACGGGGACUGAUUUCUACCUGAGCUACCACGGCAUAACAGAAUCAUUUGACUCAUACAGCUUUAAGAAUAAAAUGGCAAAACAAACAGUAAGUACAGAUACCUUUCUGCUGUAUUUCAUUAGAUUUUUUUGGCGUUGCCCGUCCUGGAGUCUGACCUGUUUAAAGUUUUCUUCUGUGUCCUGGAAGGAGAGAAAAACAGCAACUGUAAAGUAAUAAUUUGGAAGCAGAAUAUGUAUAUUACCUUCUGCAAAAAGACUUGUUUUAGUAAAUAAAUCUAGUCACCGAUUUCUUUGUAUAUUUAUCUGUAAGGACAUUCCAUUCAUUGCCUAAUUUCUUCCUGGCAGACUUUGGAUAUGAUGAAAAUCAAUAUUAUAACUGGAACCUGUACCUGUACAAAGUCUAGUCAGUUUUCCUGUUAUCUUGUUUUCUGGUAAUACCUAAAUGCUAUUUUAUUAUCCCUUUGCAUAUUCCUAUAUCCUGUGUUAGAACAUGUCUCAUUAGCCAUCAGUUUGUGCUCUGAUAUGACAAGUUCAUGCCUUCCUAUGUUUCACUAAUGAAAUUACUGCUGCGGAACUACAUGUGGUCUGGAAACUUCAUCUGGUUUUCAUCACAUCCCAAUUCUGAAGCUCCAUUCCAGUGGCUGUUUUGGUAGUAUUUGAUGAGAAAGAAGUGGUGAUUUCCUGUAAAUGGAAAUAUUUGGCUCCGCUUCUUACUUUCACCACUCCCAAAUUUCUGUUCAGGUAAGAAAUCCACAUAAAACUGGAUUGUAACUUACUCUCCAAGCGAGAAAGUCCUUACAAGUGUACUCAUGUUCUACUUUGAGCUCUUAUUUAACACAUCUUCUGUACAGAAUUCUAAUGAAGAUUUACACUGUGAGUGGCUUCCUCUUUCCUCCACUCAGAAAGGAAAGAGAAGAGUCCACAAAAAGAAAUGAGGUAAAAGUAGCUUUGCAUAAUUAAGUGGGGGAAAAAAAAUUAGAACCCAAAUUAGAACUCAUCCAAAUAAGCUUUCCGGGCUGUUCAUGAAGAGAACCAAGGGGUAUUUUCAUAUGCGAUACAAACAUCAGUUAAGAUUUAGGCUUUACAUUUUUUUGUAACUGUCCCAGAGAGUGAAUGAAAGAACACGAAUAAAAGUCCUGCACAGACUAUACCUCAUAUACUCAUACCUCAAGUGAUUCUCCUCUUAUUCCAGCUGUAUCUAUGUUUUCAGACUGGUCUUCAGCUUUCCCUUGACUCACCAGAAAGGUUUUAUCUGGUAUUUUUUGAUUCUCCUAUGGAAUAUGUUUAUAUUUUGAUUAAUAAUUAAGUGAAUUACAUUAAAAUAGGAAAAGGAAAUAUGA